CGCCCAACAGCUAGCCCCUCCCACCAAAAACAACAAAACCCCAUCAAUAACCCCCAAUACCCUUAACCCCUAUAAACAAAUCAUUUUUCCCCCUUAGUACAGGCGAUAGAAAAG
RNAcentral lists this ribosomal RNA (114 nucleotides) under Lutjanus gibbus (humpback red snapper). RNAcentral's name for it is "partial 16S rRNA". The record is from RNAcentral. Lineage: Eukaryota; Metazoa; Chordata; Actinopteri; Lutjaniformes; Lutjanidae.